Molecule: RNA transcript, 2277 nt
Organism: Papaver somniferum (opium poppy)
Lineage: Eukaryota; Viridiplantae; Streptophyta; Magnoliopsida; Ranunculales; Papaveraceae
Gene name: 40S ribosomal protein S13-like
Exons: 10
Source: RefSeq, a predicted model, not a curated record
AUGAAAAAUCCAGUCGGGAGGGUUUCCUUGUAUAUGACCCACGGGUUCGGAAUAGUUUUCACUUUAAUGGAUCCUUCGGGUUACUCAAAUUCAUUUAGGGUUUGUAGGGGGUCCUGAUUUUGUUCAAAUUGUAAUGAUAAACCUUAAAUGGGAGUAUUCUUUCUUAGGGUUCCGUUCAGAUUGAAGAUCCGAACACGAAUUUCUGAAGAUUUGUCACCAUUGGUAUCUCUUUUUACCGAAGAUUCGAACACGAAUUACCGGGUUUCGUUAGCACGCUUAUCUUGACUUGAAUUCUUCGGACGGAGGAACGCUUCAUGUCAAACUUUCGGAAGGACUCAGCUGAGGAUUGCAGCUUAGAUUUACAACCUGUAAUUAAGUACAGACAAAAUGGUGUUGUCUUGUUACACAUCUAUUGUAUUUCUGAUGUGUUGGUAUGCUUUUAAUAUUGGGUUUUUGGGUGUGACAAGGUAUUGACUGUUCGAAUCUGGGUCAAUACAGAAGAACACCACCAAGCUGGUUGGAACUUUUCUUCUCCUGAUGUUGAAGAUAACACAUGUAAGUUCGCAAAGAACUGGUUGACUCCAUCUCAGAUUGAUGUCAUUCUCAGGGAUUCACAUGGUUUAAGAGUUUUGCAUAUUCUUAAGGCUCAUGUUGCAGAAUGCCGAUCUCCUGGACAGUGAAAUCAUAUAUGACAGAGAUUUUGACUAUGAUUAUUUUGGUUUCAAAACCCUUGAAAGAUCCUACCUGUUGAAGGUGCAAGGCAAGGUUGUAGAAGACCACAACAUAUGUUGAUGAGAGUUGCUGUUGGAAUCCGCAAAGACAAUAUUGAUUCUGUUCUCAAAACAUAUCAUCUAUGCCACAACGUUGGUUUACCCAUGCUUCUCCUACUCUUUUCAAUCUAGGGACACUCAGGCCUCAAUUGAGUAGCUGCUUCCUUGUGUGCAUGAAAGAGCACAGUAUUGAAGGAAUAUAUGGAACUUCGAAGGAGUAUGCUGUUAUUAGUAAAUCUGCUGAAGGAAUUGGAGUUUCUGUGCACAACAUCUGUACCACUGGUAGUUAUAUCUUUGGUACUAAUGGAACAUCUAUUGGAAUUGUUCCAAUGCUAUGAGUAUUCAAUGACACUGCCCGUUGUGUUGAUCAAGGAUGACGUAAUGUCUUCUGCCUUGAUAUACUUUCUUGUGUUAGCUUCCUGUACAGGUGAUAUUGCUGUCUACCUAGAGCCAUGGCAUGCCGCUGUUUUCGAGUUCCUAGACCUAAGGAAGAAUCAUGGAAACAUAUUGUUGGAUGAUUUAUUGAUUUCACCUGCCGUCAGAAUUUGUCCAAUAAGUGAUGUAAGUGGCAGUAACAUAGAAUAGGAAUUCCUAUAACGUCUUUAUAAUUGAACGUCUGGAUUCUGCCUUGCAGGAUACUGUGUUUUGGUUGUCUCUGAAUAUUUUGUAUAAACCUUCGAAAUACACACAAGAGCAAGCUGCAGUUAGAGCAUCCUCAGGAGAUUUCAGCCUGCGCAUUCUGUCAAUAGCGGGUGCCUCGCUGCCGGGUCUUCUGAAAUAUAGCUGACAGUGAUUCUUAAUGAGCUGGUCUGCACAAAGAUACAGCCUAAUUCUGAUCGAUAGAGUUCAUUUGAUUGAGAAAGACAAGCUUGUUGGGUUUGUUCUAGAUUGUCAGUUUGUGAGCAUGAUCAGAGUUGUGUUCAAAAAUAUGUUGGAUAAAGAGAAUUGAGAUGGGCCAGAUGAUGCUGUUGAUGUUUUCCUUACAUAUUUUGGUGUUGUUCUGGCACGGCUGCGCUUCAAAAAAAAAAAAAAGACUCAGCCUAACAAGCAAACCCUUAUUAGAGCCACGUGUGGGUUGGAUUUAGAGAGGAUUCGCUUUCAUGGUUCAGAUUCUCCUCAAUCUGCUGCCAGGGAGAUCCUUCUUCUUUCUUUGGGGAGGUGUCGUUACAGGGUGACAGUUGCUUUUCAGUAAAGCGACAACUUGUAACAUAGAGAAGCAGCUGUAAACUGGAGAGUGUGGACCAAGUUGAAGAAAAUCUUUUGCCAUGAGUCUCGAGUCCAACCAACCAUCUUCAGCAUCAGUUUUCAGUAGCUGGUUGUAUAUGAAUGAAUAAUUACUCUUUUGUACUUUAAUCAACACUAAUUGUUCCAUCUACGGGCUGUAUAAUUCUUCUAUGUACGGACAUCCAUUGUGUCUGUGUCCCGACAUCCAUCAUUUGAAUAUCCAUAAGGUGGAGCACCUUUUUUCGUACUUGAUAAAAUGACGACCGCUGCAUUACUGUUGAAA